Molecule: ribosomal RNA, 515 nt
Filed under: uncultured bacterium
Lineage: Bacteria
Description: partial 16S ribosomal RNA
Rfam family: Bacterial small subunit ribosomal RNA
Source: RNAcentral
GAUGAACGCUGGCGGCGUGCCUAAUACAUGCAAGUCGAGCGAAUGGAUUAAGAGCUUGCUCUUAUGAAGUUAGCGGCGGACGGGUGAGUAACACGUGGGUAACCUGCCCAUAAGACUGGGUUAACUCCGGGAAACCGGGGCUAAUACCGGAUAACAUUUUGAACCGCAUGGUUCGAAAUUGAAAGGCGGCUUCGGCUGUCACUUAUGGAUGGACCCGCCUCGCAUUAGCUAGUUGGUGAGGUAACGGCUCACCAAGGCAACGAUGCGUAGCCGACCUGAGAGGGUGAUCGGCCACACUGGGACUGAGACACGGCCCAGACUCCUACGGGAGGCAGCAGUAGGGAAUCUUCCGCAAUGGACGAAAGUCUGACGGAGCAACGCCGCGUGAGUGAUGAAGGCUUUCGGGUCGUAAAACUCUGUUGUUAGGGAAGAACAAGUGCUAGUUGAAUAAGCUGGCACCUUGACGGUACCUAACCAGAAAGCCACGGCUAACUACGUGCCAGCAGCCGCAGUAA